GUGCUCACUUUGACAGCACAUACGCUAAAACUGGAAUGAUACAGACAUUAGCACGGCCCCUCUGCAAAGAUGACACGAAAAUUCCUGAAGCAUUCCAUUAGAAA
Saimiri boliviensis boliviensis (Bolivian squirrel monkey) is the source of this 104-nucleotide small nuclear RNA. Lineage: Eukaryota; Metazoa; Chordata; Mammalia; Primates; Cebidae. The record is from Ensembl.